Molecule: long non-coding RNA, 700 nt
Filed under: Ananas comosus (pineapple)
Lineage: Eukaryota; Viridiplantae; Streptophyta; Magnoliopsida; Poales; Bromeliaceae
Description: long non-coding RNA (ACOM_LNC031556)
Source: RNAcentral
UUAAAAAGAAUAUAAAUUGUAGUAAUUAUUAAUAUUAUAUACUAACAUAAAAAAAAGGAAAAAAAAAAGGAAUUAGAAAAUUUACUAAAUAGAAUAUUUAUUAAAAAAAUUAGAUAGUCGAUUAUAAUUGGAGAAGGGAUUUGAAAAAAAACUCACUCGUGCCACGCCUAUAGAGAAUUCAUAUCGCUGACGAUGAUAAUGGUAGAAAUAUUGUUUCAUAAAAAAUUCUUAGGCGGAAAUUUAAAAAAAAAAAGAGUAAAAAAAAAUAGAAAAAAUAAAUGAGUAAAAAUGCGGCUACGGUUUAAGUGUUUCACUAGAAUGAAAAUACAUAGAGAUCCCUUAUCUAUAAGUCUUAUUAAAAUUAAUCCCUCAACUUCAAAAGUUCAAAUCUUUUUUAUUUACUAUCGAAUAUUUCAUCGGGUCCAGAUUUGAAAAUAUUCCGUGCCCUACCUAUUUAAAAGUUGGGUUCCGAUCGGAUCCAAAUCGGGUAUAGGUAUAAAAUAUCCGAACCCAUACCUAAAAUUUUAAUGGUUAAUUUUUUUUACCCAUAUACUAUCCAUUUUUUAUCGGACUCGGUUUGAGUCUGAACAAGAUCCGGGUAAGAUAUGAUAUAUCAGAUAUUUUGUACCGUUUUAAUGGAUAAAGAUUAAUAUUUUUUCUAAUAUUUUUUCACCUACUCUGUGUGAACAGAAAUGUAAGG